AUUUUCUUCAAUUGAAACCUGCAACAUCACACUGAAGAAACCGAAACCCUCCAUCUACGAAAUUGAAACCUUCUUCUCCAUGUUAUUUCACCCAAUACAAUCCAAGCCAAACUCUACAGCGUCUCUCCUUUCCCCGAUUAGUGUUGUGCGCGAUGUGCUCUUAUCUCUUCUCCCUCUGUGGUGGUUGCGCCUGAUUCCGCGGCUCUCUUCUCUCAUCCUCUCCGGCGUGCCCUCGGUGGUUGCCACGUUGUCGAGCUGAGGUGAGCCGCCGUUCAAUUUAGAAGAUCUGGUACCUUCUCUGUCUCUGCCGCCUUCGCUGACUUCAACUUUCAGACCUUGUCUAUUAGCUUUAAACUAAUAGACCCUAAUUUUAUGUGCCACAGGCAUUGAGGAAUCAGAUGCAAGAAGCAGGAUGAAAAAUGCGUCGUUCGCACAGGCAUUGAAGAAUGACAAAGUUGUCUACUUUUUUUGUGGUUGUAACUUACAAGUCAUUGAAUCUUUCUGCUUUCCAGUGUUUUCACAUUGUUGACAUAUAUUUCUUGAUAUUUUGGAAUAAUUGUUACCUGAUUAACAUUCAACAGUUUUCCUUCUGUAUCUUCAGAUGUUGCAGAUGGUAGAAUUUCAUGCACAAGCUGCUACUUCUGCUAAACCUCCUGAAAAAUCGCUAAAAAUUAGAAAGCAGAAAUUGCUUUCUUUCUUGCAAGAACAAUAUGAGUCUGUUUAUGCUAAAUGGACAACCGAAAGAUGUGUUGUAUGUCGAUGGGUUGAGGAUUGGGAUUACAACAAGAUUAUUAUUUGCAAUAGGGUUGGAAGGGUGUUGGAGUUGUUGCUUCAUCACGUAAGCUAAUAGGAGCUACCGAUCCUCUUUAGGCUGAACUUGGAACUAUCAGAGGGGAUCUUAUUGUUCAAACGAGGAGCUGUAUAUUCACUUGCAGGUGUGUGCCUUUUCUAAUUUCUUAUCUGGAAUACAAUUACUUCCACGAAUGUCCAAGAAAUUACUGAACAUGGAAUGCAUACAUAUAUCUUGUGUGGAUAUCUGGAUAAGGAACACUUGAUUAAAUAAAAGAGCUAUACAGAGACAUGCUGCUAGCCCCUAAGUUCUCAAAGGUUACAUCAGGUGGGUGUGGCGCUACGCCAACAGCCUUGUUAAUACUAUCAUUCUCAUCCGCAUCAUCAGCUAAAACUUUAGACUAACAUGGUUCACUAUCUUAAAAUACAUGCUGUAUAGAACAAAAGCAGCAUUCUGCUUUCAAAAUCCUAGAAAUUUGCAGCUUCAUUGUUUUAGAAUAGUUCAUUAGAGUAGUUUAAUUGUUUUGGAAUAGUUUCAUUGUUUAAGGGUAGUUCAUCAGGUAAUUCUAGUAUUUACCCCUUUUCUAAAUUGUUUAGUCUUAAACACAUUUUCCAGCCGAGUAUUUCAAGUAAUUUAAUAGUACCAUUAAUUCUU
This is an RNA transcript of Spinacia oleracea (spinach), 1444 nucleotides long. It is a transcript of the gene named histone-lysine N-methyltransferase ATX5, with no coding region annotated. The record is from RefSeq and is a predicted model, not a curated record. The transcript is spliced from 6 exons. NCBI's taxonomy places the organism in Eukaryota, Viridiplantae, Streptophyta, Magnoliopsida, Caryophyllales, Amaranthaceae.